GCCUGAGUUAAUUUGCUAAACCAUUGUCUGCUUGCCUGUUUAAGUCCAUAGAGUGACUUUUGAAGAUGACAGACUUGGUUGGGUUUAGAGCUUGAAAAACCAGGUGGUAGUACCAUAUACACUUCUUCAUAGAGGUCACCAUGAAGAAAUGCAUUAUUGACAUCAAGUUGUUGUAAAAUCCAGUUGUUGGCAGAAGCAAUUGCCAAUAGCAAUCUGACUGUAGUCAUCUUAGCAACUGGACUGAAUGUAUCAAAGUAAUCCACACCCUCUUGCUGAGUGUACCCUUUUGCAACUAAACGUGUCUUAUGCCUUUCAAUUGUCCCAUCUGCUUUAUAUUUGAUCUUAAAAACCCAUUUGCAACCUAUUGGAGUCUUGCCAGGAGGUAACUCAGUAAUAUUCCAAGUUUUAUUUUCCUCAAGAACUUGGAUUUCAACCUGCAUAGCCUUUCUCCAACAAUCAUGUUUUACAGCUUGUUGAAAAGUUUUAGGUUCAUCAUGAGCAGUAAUAGAGAGAACAAAAUGUUUAUAUGCAGGAGAAAGAUGAGAAUAUGAAAUGACAGACUCUAAGGGAUAAAGAGCACCUGGUAGAUCAUCAGUAAUAGCUGAAUUAGAAAUAAGAUUGCAAUGGUAAUCCUGCAAG
This 639-nucleotide unclassified non-coding RNA is filed under the name Hevea brasiliensis (rubber tree). Lineage: Eukaryota; Viridiplantae; Streptophyta; Magnoliopsida; Malpighiales; Euphorbiaceae. The record is from RNAcentral.